GACGAACGCUGGCGGCGUGCUUAACACAUGCAAGUCGAGCGGUAAGGCCCUUUCGGGGGUACACGGGCGUCGAACGGGUGAGUAACAGGUGAGCAAGCUGACCCUGUCUCUGGGAUAACCACUGGUAACGGUGACUAAUACCGGAUAUGACUUCCUUCUUCAUGGUUGGUGUUGGAAAAGCCCGGUCGAUCGGGCUGAGCUCGCGGGCUAGCAGCUUGUUGGAGUGGUAAUGGCAUACCAAGGCGACGACGGGUAGCCAGCCUGCGAGGGUGACCGGCCACACUGGUACUGAGAGACGGCCCAGACGCCUACGGGAGGCAGCAGUGGGGAAUAUUAGACAAUGGGCGAAAGCCUGAUCCAGCAACGCCGCGUGAGGGAUGACGGCCUUCGGGUUAUAAACCUCUUUCAGCAGGGACGAAGCGAACGUGACGGUACCUGAAGAAGAAGGACCGGCCAACUACGUG
This 464-nucleotide ribosomal RNA is filed under the name uncultured bacterium. RNAcentral describes it as "partial 16S ribosomal RNA". It matches the Rfam family "Bacterial small subunit ribosomal RNA", at positions 28 to 507 of the family's 1533-position model. The record is from RNAcentral.